Molecule: long non-coding RNA, 400 nt
Organism: Perognathus longimembris pacificus (Pacific pocket mouse)
Lineage: Eukaryota; Metazoa; Chordata; Mammalia; Rodentia; Heteromyidae
Exons: 3
Source: RefSeq, a predicted model, not a curated record
CAAUAUUUAAAGAACAGAGAAAAUAACACUUGACAGAAACCAAACAAUGACCCGAAAUGACUCUAGAAAGGAGUUGCCUUUCCCUUUUCAAAGCAAUCAAUACAGACAAGAACCACACUACAGGCUAAAAUCAUCUGGGGCCCUCUGUGCCACGACUAAUUUGCUCUCCCUACAAGUCAAAUACCCGAUGAUAGAAAGGCAAAAAGGCCACAUAUCCGACAUCCAGUGACUAUUUAUUAAUUUAUACAAAUACAUGAGAUGUGGGGUGGAGGGAUGCAUGAUGAAAUGUUAUUCUCAGGUAGGCAAUACCUUUCCAAAUCUCCAUGGGAUUUAUCAAUUCCACGUUUUAUCCUCACUGGCGUGUGUGUGCGUGUGUGUGUGUGUGUGUGUGUGUGUGUGU